AUGAACGCUGGCGGCGUGCCUAAUACAUGCAAGUCGAGCGAACAGACGAGGAGCUUGCUCCUCUGACGUUAGCGGCGGACGGGUGAGUAACACGUGGAUAACCUACCUAUAAGACUGUGAUAACUUCGGGAAACCGGAGCUAAUACCGGAUAAUAUAUUUAACCGCAUGGUUCAAUAGUGAAAGACGGUUUUGCUGUCACUUAUAGAUGGAUCCGCGCCGCAUUAGCUAGUUGGUAAGGUAACGGCUUACCAAGGCAACGAUGCGUAGCCGACCUGAGAGGGUGAUCGGCCACACUGGAACUGAGACACGGUCCAGACUCCUACGGGAGGCAGCAGUAGGGAAUCUUCCGCAAUGGGCGAAAGCCUGACGGAGCAACGCCGCGUGAGUGAUGAAGGUCUUCGGAUCGUAAAACUCUGUUAUUAGGGAAGAACAAAUGUGUAAGUAACUAUGCACGUCUUGACGGUACCUAAUCAGAAAGCCACGGCUAACUACGUG
This 496-nucleotide ribosomal RNA is filed under the name uncultured bacterium. RNAcentral describes it as "partial 16S ribosomal RNA". It matches the Rfam family "Bacterial small subunit ribosomal RNA", at positions 29 to 507 of the family's 1533-position model. The record is from RNAcentral.